GAUGAAGAACGUAGCGAAAUGCGAUAAGUAAUGUGAAUUGCAGAAUUCAGUGAAUCAUCGAAUCUUUGAACGCACAUUGCGCCCGCCAGCACUCUGGCGGGCAUGCCUGUUCGAGCGUCAUUUCAACCAUCAAGCCCCCAGGGGCUUGUGCUGGGGCCCUGCGGCUGCCCGCAGGCCCUGAAAACCAGUGGCGGGCUCGCUAGUCACACCGAGCGCAGUAGCACAUCUCGCUCAGGGCGUGCGGCGGGCUCCUGCCGUGAAACCCCCCACUGUAACCCCAAAUGUUGACCUCGGAUCAGGUAGGAAUACCCGCUGAACUUAAGCAUAUCAAUAAGCGGAGGA
This 342-nucleotide unclassified non-coding RNA is filed under the name soil metagenome. RNAcentral's name for it is "partial contains 5.8S ribosomal RNA, internal transcribed spacer 2, and large subunit ribosomal RNA". The stretch from base 1 to 120 matches the Rfam family "5.8S ribosomal RNA", at positions 35 to 154 of the family's 154-position model. The record is from RNAcentral.